GUCCACGCCGUAAACGAUGUCUGCUAGCCGUCGGGGUCCUUGAGGCCUCGGUGGCGCAGCUAACGCGAUAAGCAGACCGCCUGGGGAGUACGGCCGCAAGGUUAAAACUCAAAUGAAUUGACGGGGGCCCGCACAAGCGGUGGAGCAUGUGGUUUAAUUCGAUGCAACGCGAAGAACCUUACCAGGUCUUGACAUCCAGCGAACUGCCGAGAGAUCGGCGGGUUCCUUCGGGAGCGCUGAGACAGGUGCUGCAUGGCUGUCGU
Molecule: ribosomal RNA, 263 nt
Filed under: uncultured bacterium
Lineage: Bacteria
Description: partial 16S ribosomal RNA
Rfam family: Bacterial small subunit ribosomal RNA
Source: RNAcentral